Molecule: non-coding RNA, 70 nt
Organism: Dipodomys ordii (Ord's kangaroo rat)
Lineage: Eukaryota; Metazoa; Chordata; Mammalia; Rodentia; Heteromyidae
Source: Rfam
GGGAAGGUAGCUCAGUGGUAGAGUGCUUGCCUUGCAAGCAUGAGGCCCUGGGUUCGAUUCCUCAGCACCA